GUUGUAAAAUUAACUAAGUAAUGGAAAAGUAAUGGAUAAAUUGACCAAGUUGAAGGUACAAUUGCAAGUUUCGAUAAUGUAAAACAUAUUUGUGUUUGUCUUCAAGAGUGCAUUGCCGACCAACUUAAACCAGGACUUGUAUAAAAAUGGCAUGGAUCAAGAUCAUAGCAUUGUUGGGACAUAUUCCGAAAUUCUUCGAAAACAUCAGCCAGCAAUAACACAUCAGUUUUAAGGGCUGCUUGGACUCUGAGCAUAGUUGUGAUCAAACGUUGGUUGUAGUGGUGUGGAUUGUGUUGCCGCUAGCGAAGAUGUCUCUGAAGGUGUCUCCGAGUCGUCUGCAUUUAUGUUCUUUGCUGAAAUGGACGAAACACAAUCAAUGUCUGAGAAGGGAAUAUGUCAGUACGAAGUUUAUAAAGCUGGUUUGAGUGAGGACUCACAUCAACAAAGGUGAUAGUUUGUGAACGACAAUCUGAUCUUUCGAAUGGGUACUUGGCUGAUGCUGUCUUCAACAUCUCUGAAUGAGCCACGAUGAGUGCAGGAUUAACUCUUACUUUUCGAGCGACUCACUUUUGGCUUGAUCUACAGUCUGUUCAGCUGGUGAAACCGCUUUGAUGGAAACACUUCCAGGUUCUUCAAUUAACUUUGAUGUACAAUGUCAAAUCCGGCGAGGAAAAUAGCGGUGUGGACCACGGACGAGAUGUCUUCCAAGGACUCCCGUUUAAUUCAUUAUUUGAACUUGUUUGUCCAAUCAUUUUCAAAAAUAAACAAUUUGGUGAAAUAUUUUUAUGUUGUUGCAUGGG
Long non-coding RNA from Mya arenaria, 800 nucleotides. RefSeq lists it as uncharacterized. Lineage: Eukaryota; Metazoa; Mollusca; Bivalvia; Myida; Myidae. The record is from RefSeq and is a predicted model, not a curated record. The transcript is spliced from 8 exons.